Molecule: long non-coding RNA, 656 nt
Filed under: Zonotrichia albicollis (white-throated sparrow)
Lineage: Eukaryota; Metazoa; Chordata; Aves; Passeriformes; Passerellidae
Description: lncRNA (ENSZALG00000014928.1)
Source: RNAcentral
CUUUGGGAACACCUAACCAGCGUGGGGGAAGCUUAGGAAGCAAAAAGGAAUUUAUAUACUACUAGCAGUAUUUAGCCAAUACCGAGAGAAGCUCAAUUCGUUGCUUUUUUGUUUUUUUUUUUUUUUUUUUUGGUCUCUGUUGGCUGCUCUUGAACGUGAGUAAAUGCUGUGCAGGGAGAGAGAGGAGGGAGAGAGCCACACAGCCAUCUCCGAGCCACGGCCAGGAAAUGGACUGACAGACUGCAAAUUAAACUAGUCCUAAUGUACGAAUGAAUGCGGCCCCCCCAAAUCUCUCCCAGCACCAGCCCGGCAGCAGAGCCCGGCACGGAGGGAGCGUGGCUGCGGCUGGGCUGGUCCAGGGAGGGACAAUAAAGCCAAUCCCGGGCAGGAAAAAAUCACAAGGCAUUGUGGAAGCAGGCAGCAUCCCAGAUCUGUGGAGGAGCUCAGCAGGAGGAGAACAAGUGGGGGAAAAUAUUCCUAGUGUUGUGUUGCUGCUCAGGCAGUUUGACCAGGGGCCUGUGGUGGUCCAGCUCGUUGGAAACUUUUGUGCAGAAACCAGGAGGAUGCUACAGCUGGAGCUAAUCCCUGAGAAAACAGCACCACCAGCAACAACAGUUUGCUCUAGACAAGAAAAAAGGUGGAAGAGGUGGGGCUGA